GGUUCCGUAGCUCAGCUGGAUAGAGCAGCUGACUUCUAAUCAGCAGGCCGCAGGUUCGAAUCCUGCCGGGAUCA
RNAcentral lists this transfer RNA (74 nucleotides) under Bacteroidia bacterium. RNAcentral's name for it is "tRNA-Arg". It matches the Rfam family "tRNA". From Rfam's summary of the family: Transfer RNA (tRNA) molecules are approximately 80 nucleotides in length. Their secondary structure includes four short double-helical elements and three loops (D, anti-codon, and T loops). The record is from RNAcentral. Lineage: Bacteria; Pseudomonadati; Bacteroidota; Bacteroidia.